GAAAGGCGCUUUUGCGUCACUGAUGGAUGGACCCGCGGUGCAUUAGCUAGUUGGUGAGGUAACGGCUCACCAAGGCCACGAUGCAUAGCCGACCUGAGAGGGUGAUCGGCCACACUGGGACUGAGACACGGCCCAGACUCCUACGGGAGGCAGCAGUAGGGAAUCUUCGGCAAUGGACGAAAGUCUGACCGAGCAACGCCGCGUGAGUGAAGAAGGUUUUCGGAUCGUAAAACUCUGUUGUUAGAGAAGAACAAGGAUGAGAGUAGAACGUUCAUCCCUUGACGGUAUCUAACCAGAAAGCCACGGCUAACUACGUGCCAGCAGCCGCGGUAAUACGUAGGUGGCAAGCGUUGUCCGGAUUUAUUGGGCGUAAAGCGAGCGCAGGCGGUUUCUUAAGUCUGAUGUGAAAGCCCCCGGCUCAACCGGGGAAGGUCAUUGGAAACUGGGAGACUUGAGUGCAGAAGAGGAGAGUGGAAUUCCAUGUGUAGCGGUGAAAUGCGUAGAUAUAUGGAGGAACACCAGUGGCGAAGGCGGCUCUCUGGUCUGUAACUGACGCUGAGGCUCGAAAGCGUGGGGAGCGAACAGGAUUAGAUACCCUGGUAGUCCACGCCGUAA
This 615-nucleotide ribosomal RNA is filed under the name uncultured bacterium. RNAcentral describes it as "bacterial SSU rRNA". It matches the Rfam family "Bacterial small subunit ribosomal RNA", at positions 202 to 805 of the family's 1533-position model. The record is from RNAcentral.